RNAcentral lists this signal recognition particle RNA (87 nucleotides) under Acidobacteriota bacterium. Its description in RNAcentral is "Acidobacteria bacterium signal recognition particle sRNA small type". It matches the Rfam family "Bacterial small signal recognition particle RNA". Rfam says of the family: The signal recognition particle (SRP) is a universally conserved ribonucleoprotein involved in the co-translational targeting of proteins to membranes. Archaeal SRP consists of a 7S RNA and homologues of the eukaryotic SRP19 and SRP54 proteins. Lineage: Bacteria; Pseudomonadati; Acidobacteriota. The record is from RNAcentral.
UUAGCCCCGCAACGGGACAGGGUUGAACCCCGCCAGGCCCGAAAGGGAGCAACGGUAGGCCUGCCGUCUCGGGUGCGGGGUUUUUAA